RNAcentral lists this transfer RNA (75 nucleotides) under Naumannella halotolerans. Its description in RNAcentral is "tRNA-Trp". It matches the Rfam family "tRNA". Rfam says of the family: Transfer RNA (tRNA) molecules are approximately 80 nucleotides in length. The record is from RNAcentral. Lineage: Bacteria; Bacillati; Actinomycetota; Actinomycetes; Propionibacteriales; Propionibacteriaceae.
CGGGCUGGGGUGCACGGUUGACACUAUUGACCAAUGCGAGUCAAGGGGUCGCAGGUUCGAAUCCUGUCAGCCCGA